Molecule: ribosomal RNA, 330 nt
Filed under: uncultured bacterium
Lineage: Bacteria
Description: bacterial SSU rRNA
Rfam family: Bacterial small subunit ribosomal RNA
Source: RNAcentral
CAUGGCUGUCUUCAGCUCGUGCCGUGAGAUGUUGGUUAAGUCCGUCAACGAGCGCAACCCACACCCCUAGUUGCCAGCAGUUCGGCUGGGCACUCUAUGGGAACUGCCCGUGAUAAGCGGGAGGAAGGUGUGGAUGACGUCAAGUCUUCAUGGCCCUUACGGGUUGGGCUACACACGUGCUACAAUGGCAAGUACAGUGGGUUAAUCCCCAAAACUUGUCUCAGUUCGGAUUGGGGUCUGCAACUCGACCCCAUGAAGUCGGAAUCGCUAGUAAUCGCGGAACAGCAUGCCGCGGUGAAUACGUUCCCGGGCCUUGCACACACCGCCCGU